Gasterosteus aculeatus aculeatus (three-spined stickleback) is the source of this 756-nucleotide long non-coding RNA. The record is from Ensembl. NCBI's taxonomy places the organism in Eukaryota, Metazoa, Chordata, Actinopteri, Perciformes, Gasterosteidae.
CCCCCCCCCCCCCCCCCCCCCCCUCCUGGGGAGCGUGGGGUAAACGGUGGAGUGGGACCCCUGACUCAUCUGGAGGAGAAGUGGAUCUUUUAGGGGUCUUAGAGCUGCUGCGUGUUGUCAAGGCAGCGAAGCGUUAGUGUCCGUACAGGCCCAUCCAUGCCAGCUGGUUACGAUCGGAGGAGAAUCCCAGGAGGAUGAGACCGAAAAGGCGUUGACCGGCGACACGCGCCGGAGCAGGCAGCCCUCACAUAAAGCAGCACAGCGUGCGGCGCCGAAACCUGGUCGGCCUAUGUGGGAUUGCCGGGGCCUCUUUGAAGUACCGAGCCGCGGCUGUUUCCUUUGUGUGUAACGACGCAAAAAAAAUCAAACCUAAAACCAAAACACCCCUAAGAAUACCUGAAAGGGGUACAAUAUAAAGUGCCAUAUGUAUAUGAUGCUUUACACGUCUCUUUUUUUUUGUGUUUCAUCCCCUCCCCUCCGCCGUGAUUAUGCAUGUCUUCUGUGAAGAGCUGCACUGCGUCGGGAGAGCCCCCUUGAAUGGAAACUGUGAGACUGCAGUUGAAGGUGAAGCACCCGAGUUCAGAGAGCGAGAGGAUCAGCCGGCGCGUGACUGACACAGAGCAGUGCACUCUGGGAGCUCAGGGUUUUGUCCCUGUGUAGACGCCGCGGCAGACUUACAUUUGUGGGAAUGUUUAAUGCUUUAAUGUAAGGUUCACAUGAGCGUGGCCUACAUAGUUUCUGUGUCUGGGAACUCAA